UCAGACAAUGGGACAAAGAAAUGCAUCAUAAGCCAUGGGCUCCCCGGUGGAAUUACUGAAGACACUACAAUAACUCUCAUCGUAACUGGUAGGCCUCCGUUCACUCAUUCCCACUCUCAACAAGAACAUUGGUAACAAAAAUAGAUCAUACCAAUUACAUUAAACCACUCCAAUACGUUUGUUAUCAAAUGAAUAAAUGUGGGCAGAUCAACCCUUAAAUGGUAGGUAUUUUAUAUUUUAUGUAAAGCAUGUAACUCUCUCCAGUGUUUCUAUGAACCAUGAAGGUUAUUUUCAGUCCUGGAUUCAUUUCAGAUUUGACCUCUGGAACUAGGCAGAGGGCGAACACAUGUCAGGCUGACAAUUUCAAUUAGUUUCAAAUAAAGUUUUCUACAGGCAUUAAGGCUGUAUCCAACAAAUGUGUUUUAUUUUAAACAUUUAAAAAAUAUUAAACAUUAUACACAGAACUGCUGUAAAAUCAUUUUCAUGAAAGUCAAACAUGAAGAAAUAGGGGAUAAGGCUAUCCUUUACGUGCAGGUUGAGUACCUCACACAUUGCAUUGAUAGAACAAUGGGACAUUUCUAACUGAUUCUAUUUCAUUUUUCUGACUGCCGGAGGUAGUGCUUUAGCCCCUGAAUGACUCACUGUGCGUCAACACACCAAAAGUGAAGUGAAGAUUUGCCCGCGUGUUUGGGCGAGUUAUCUCCAGGUAUCUUCUGUAAUGACCUUCUCUUGUUUCCUCUCUUCUCUAGCAACCCCCGAUGCAGUCACAAUAGAGCGCCACAACCCUGAGAGCGCUGGUGACGUUUCCAAUGCCUCGCUUACAUGUACUGCCAUCGCCGUCUAUCCAGUCAGCAACAUAUCAUGGAAUGUAACUGGUGUCUGGUGCAUUCCCAAACAACAAAUAGUAUUUGUAACGAUAUAGGCUGCUAUUUCACUAACUUACGUUCAUUCUGGUGCCAAUGUGUUUUUUUCAAGAUCUACUCGACCUUCUCCGUUUAAUCGUACCAGUCCUGGUGUGUGUGGGGGGAUUUGCUUGGUGGAAGAAAUGCAAAGGAAAUCCACUUUCUAACGAGCAACGACCCCAAUCAGCCCCACAAGCCGAUCCAGUAUCAGCAAGCGAAGAAGUCGCAGAACGUGAGAUUUUCGUGCCUCAGCCGCCCGUUGCUGAGGAUUUGGAGUUGGAAACGUUGAAUAAUACAAAUUAAAAUGAAA
Long non-coding RNA from Gadus chalcogrammus (walleye pollock), 1212 nucleotides. RefSeq lists it as uncharacterized. The record is from RefSeq and is a predicted model, not a curated record. The transcript has 4 exons. Lineage: Eukaryota; Metazoa; Chordata; Actinopteri; Gadiformes; Gadidae.